UACAGAGGGUGCAAGCGUUAAUCGGAAUUACUGGGCGUAAAGCGCGCGUAGGCGGCUGAUUAAGUCGGGUGUGAAAGCCCCGGGCUCAACCUGGGAAUUGCAUCCGAUACUGAUUGGCUAGAGUAUGAGAGAGGGAGGUAGAAUUCCACGUGUAGCGGUGAAAUGCGUAGAUAUGUGGAGGAAUACCGGUGGCGAAGGCGGCCUCCUGGCUUAAUACUGACGCUGAGGUGCGAAAGCGUGGGGAUCAAACAGG
RNAcentral lists this ribosomal RNA (253 nucleotides) under uncultured bacterium. Its description in RNAcentral is "partial 16S ribosomal RNA". It matches the Rfam family "Bacterial small subunit ribosomal RNA", at positions 524 to 776 of the family's 1533-position model. RNAcentral also lists the same sequence under 1 other name. The record is from RNAcentral.